Poecilia latipinna (sailfin molly) is the source of this 1139-nucleotide long non-coding RNA. RefSeq lists it as uncharacterized. The record is from RefSeq and is a predicted model, not a curated record. The transcript has 5 exons. Lineage: Eukaryota; Metazoa; Chordata; Actinopteri; Cyprinodontiformes; Poeciliidae.
UACAAAAACCUCAGAAUAUAAACCUGAGACAGAAAUCCUCUCAUAUGCAGAGAAAAUAAAGACAGAACAUCUCCAGCAUUUGCAGAACAUGAGGUUUUUGUUAUAGGACUCAGUGAAGAUGUAGCACUGUGAUGGAGUUUUUGACUACUGGGGAGAUGGAACCACAGUCACUGUUCGUCCAGAUGGUCCCUCUCAGACUCCGUCCCUGUUCGUCCUCAGUCCUCUGUCGAAUCCUGACUCCCCCCUGAAGUCAGCAGAUGAUCUCGGUCCAAACGUCUGUCUGGCCACAGGUUUCCGUCCAAAGGGGGAAGAGGUGGUUCUGAAACAAAAAGGGGGUCCGGUCAACGUGAGCACUGAUGAUGCAGUUCUGUCAAAGGACGGGACCUACAACUAUGCUGUAUUCAGUAAUGAAACCAUUUACUCCUGUGGGAUGAACGGGACCUUCGGCAACAAUGAAGCUGAUGAUGAAUGUGGCAGCAUUUAUCCAGAAAAAGCCAAGCUGAACUUCUACCUGCUGCUGAUGAACGGAGUCCGAGUGGUGUUCACCAAAGCUCUGGCCUUCAGCACCGUCCUCACCAUCAGAGGCCUGAUCUUCUGAGAAAAAAAUUAUAUACCACACAAACUUCAAGUCAAUAAGAUUUAAAGUUUGAAACUUUGCUGUCAGAUUUUUCCUCCUAAUUGUGUAAAUCUGAAGAGUGACAUAUUUAUCACUGAAAGCAUUUAGUCAAGUUUAUUUUUAGCCAAGUUUAAAAAGGCAGUUCAAUGUGCUUUGCAUCAUGAAAACAUAAUACAGAAACCGAUUAUGAAAUAAGCAGUGAACAUUACAUGAUGGCAAAUGGUGUCAUCAAAAUCAUUAAGCAAAAAUACAUUAUAAGACAAUUGAACAAAAAACUCUCCCUAAAACCUUCUGUCAAUUAAAUAUACAUUUGUAUUCAGGCAGCUCUCGUCUCAAAUGAAAUGUGCUUAGAUCUUGUUGCAAUCCAUGAAAGAUUUGCAGAUUUAAAAUGUUGCAUGAAAACAUUUUCUAAGAAGUUUUAAAAUAUGCUUUGUAUUUUAUGCUUUAAAGCCUGGAAGUAUCUUAUUAAUUUCUAUUAAAUUGUCAAGUUAUGUUAUUUCAUUAAAUAUGUUCCUGUUUUUUG